GCUGAAAUAGCUCAGUUGGAAGAGCAUUAGGCUGGAGAUCUAAAGGUCUCUGAUUCAAUCCCAGGUUUUAGCA
Molecule: non-coding RNA, 73 nt
Organism: Phyllostomus discolor (pale spear-nosed bat)
Lineage: Eukaryota; Metazoa; Chordata; Mammalia; Chiroptera; Phyllostomidae
Source: the annotation of a RefSeq genome assembly